AUUGAACGCUGGCGGCAGGCCUAACACAUGCCAGUCGAGCGGAUGAAGGGAGCUUCCUCCUGUAUUCAACGGCGGACGGGUGAGUAAUGCCUAGGAAUCUGCCUUGUAGUGGGGGAUAACGUCCGUAAACGGGCGCUAAUACCGCAUACGUCCUGAGGGACAAAGUGGGGGAUCUUCGGACCUCACUCUAUCAGAUGAGCCUAGGUCGGAUUAGCCGUGUGGUGGGGUAAAGGCCUACCAAGGCCACUAUCCGUAACUGGUCUGAGAGGAUGGUCAGUCACACUGGAAGGGAGAACGGGCACAGAGUCAAACGGGAGGAAGAAGUGGGGAAUAUUGAGAAAGGGGUGAAAGAUUGAUCAAGACAGGGCGAGUGUGUGAAGAAGGUCUUCGGGUUGUAAAGCAAUUUAAGUUGGGAGGAAGGGAAGUAAGUUAAGACAGAGCUGUUUGAAGGUUACCAAAAGAAUAAGCACCGGCUAACUUCGU
Molecule: ribosomal RNA, 483 nt
Filed under: uncultured bacterium
Lineage: Bacteria
Description: partial 16S ribosomal RNA
Rfam family: Bacterial small subunit ribosomal RNA
Source: RNAcentral